This 944-nucleotide ribosomal RNA is filed under the name uncultured Neocallimastigales. Its description in RNAcentral is "partial large subunit ribosomal RNA". It matches the Rfam family "Eukaryotic large subunit ribosomal RNA", at positions 22 to 635 of the family's 3401-position model. Lineage: Eukaryota; Fungi; Neocallimastigomycota; Neocallimastigomycetes; Neocallimastigales. The record is from RNAcentral.
GUACACGCUGUGACUAGCAUAUCAAUAAGCGGAGGAAAAGAAACUAACAAGGAUUCCCCUAGUAACGGCGAGUGAAGCGGGAAGAGCUCAAAUUUGAAAUCUUAAAGGGUUUCCCUUUACGAAUUGUAGUUUAAAGAAGUGUUUUCUGUUGAGGUUUUGGUAAAAGUUCUUUGGAAUAGGACAUCAUAGAGGGUGAGAAUCCCGUAUUUGACCUUUACUUUCAACCUUGUGAUACACUUUCAAAGAGUCGGAUUGUUUGGGAAUGCAGUCCAAAAUGGGUGGUAAAUUUCAUCUAAAGCUAAAUAUUGGCGAGAGACCGAUAGCGAACAAGUACCGUGAGGGAAAGAUGAAAAGAACUUUGAAAAGAGAGUUAAACAGUACGUGAAGUUGUCAAAAGGGAAGCGUUUGACACCAGUGUUGUUUUUCUGAAAAUCAAUUAAAGAACUGUUUAUGCUAAGCUGUUUAGACUUUAUCAGCUAUCUGUUUAGUUUUGAGCUUUUCUUUAAUGCACUUUUCAGUUAACAAGUCAACAUCAAUUUCUUUUGCUGUAAAAAAGCUUGAGGAAGGUGGCUUGAGAUUCGUCUUAAGUGUUUAUAGCCUCUUGCCUAUGCAGUCGGAGAGAUUGAGGUCUGCAGCGUAGAUCCUUCGGGGCUAAAUGCAUUUGUGCUAAGUUAUAACAUUUUAUAGACAACUUGUUGACUAUGAUUUGUCUUGUAGCUUACUCGCUUAUGUUAUUUUACCUACGCUUAGGAUGUUGACGAGACUGUCGAUCUCAUCUAUACACUGACUGUGACUAGCAUAUCAAUAAGCGGAGGAAAAGUCAAUACCUACGCUUAGGAUGUUGACGAGACUGUCGAUCUCAUCUAUACAUGAGUCUGUGCAUAUCAAUAAGCGGAGGAAAAGUCAAUACCUACGCUUAGGAUGUUGAAGAUGUAGCACAUCAU